Molecule: long non-coding RNA, 165 nt
Organism: Aquila chrysaetos chrysaetos
Lineage: Eukaryota; Metazoa; Chordata; Aves; Accipitriformes; Accipitridae
Exons: 3
Source: RefSeq, a predicted model, not a curated record
GUUCCUUUUCUGUUCCCUCUCUCCAGCUUCUAGUGUCUUCGCCCUCCGCUCUUACCACGUUGGCUGGGAUUAGUUCUCUAAAUUGAGAUGGCCAUAGUUCUGUCCUCGCCCAGCUAUGCAUUUCCAUGCCUUGUUUCAGUAUCAGCUUCAAACAACCAUACAGAG